Molecule: ribosomal RNA, 907 nt
Filed under: uncultured archaeon
Lineage: Archaea
Description: bacterial SSU rRNA
Rfam family: Archaeal small subunit ribosomal RNA
Source: RNAcentral
CCCUACUGCUAUCGGGGCGGGACUAAGACAUGCAAGUCGUGCGUCUCUAAGCCAUGGUAGAGACGCGGCGUACGGCUCAGUAACACGUGGCUAACCUACCCUUAGGACGGAGACAACCCCGGGAAACUGGGGCUAAUACCCGAUAGGUGAGGAGGCCUGGAAUGGUUCUUCGCUGAAAAGGCGUUGAAACCAUGCUUUUCAACGUCGCCUAAGGAUGGGGCCGCGUCCGAUCAGGUUGUUGGUGGGGUAACGGCUCACCAAGCCUAUAACCGGUACGGGCCGUGAGAGCGGGAGCCCGGAGAUGGGCACUGAGAUAAGGGCCCAGGCCCUACGGGGCGCAGCAGUCGCGAAAACUCCGCAAUGCGCGAAAGCGUGACGGGGCUACCCCGAGUGCCGUCCGCUGAGGAUGGCUUUUCCCCGGUGUAAUGAGCCGGGGGAAUAAGGAGAGGGCAAGACUGGUGUCAGCCGCCGCGGUAAUACCAGCUCUCCGAGUAGUAGGGACGAUUAUUGGGCUUAAAGCGUCCGUAGCCGGCUUAGCAAGUCUCCUGUUAAAUUCAGCGACCUAAUCGUUGAGCCGCGGGAGAUACUACUAGGCUAGGAGGCGGGAGAGGCCGACGGUAUUUCCGGGGUAGGGGUGAAAUCCUAUAAUCCCGGGAGGACCACCAGUGGCGAAGGCUGUCGGCUAGAACGCGCUCGACGGUGAGGGACGAAAGCUGGGGGAGCGAACCGGAUUAGAUACCCGGGUAGUCCCAGCUGUAAACGAUGCGGGCUAGGUGUUGAGGUGGCUACGAGCCACUUCAGUGCCGCAGGGAAGCCAUUAAGCCCGCCGCCUGGGGAGUACGGCCGCAAGGCUGAAACUUAAAGGAAUUGGCGGGGGAGCACCACAAGGCGUGAAGCUUGCGGUUCA